UGAAUUUUGCUGGGAUGUAGUAUGAUGUAGCUCGUAUUUCACGAGCAGGCUGGCAUGCAUAUUGGUCCUCAACUGGCUCUUGUCCUGCAAAUUCAGUGAUGGAAGUACCCACACUUACCCCUACAGCAUGAAGGAAGGAGAAACACAAAGCAUUUUGAUAACCCUGAAAAACCUGCCUAAGACUUCUGAUCUUAGGGCACCUGUGUGUGCAUGCAACAUCUUCUUAAAAGGCUGGAAUUCAAAACCUCCCAGGGGAUACACAAGCUCACUACAUUGCUGAGCACCGGGGAUUUGAAGCAGCAGGAAUGUCUGAG
Molecule: long non-coding RNA, 314 nt
Filed under: Gallus gallus (chicken)
Lineage: Eukaryota; Metazoa; Chordata; Aves; Galliformes; Phasianidae
Description: lncRNA (ENSGALG00010007273.1)
Source: RNAcentral